AGCAGAGUUAACAAACGGUUUUGUUCCCAGGCUCAUGACCUAGUGGUUAAGGUGGUUCGACUCCCCUCUCUGCAA
Monosiga brevicollis MX1 is the source of this 75-nucleotide non-coding RNA. NCBI's taxonomy places the organism in Eukaryota, Choanoflagellata, Craspedida, Salpingoecidae. The record is from the annotation of a RefSeq genome assembly.